GAAUCCCGUCUUUGACACGGACUGCCUGUACAUUAUGGUGUGCUCUCGAAGAGUCGAGUUGUUUGGGAAUGCAGCUCAAAAUGGGUGGUAAAUGCCAUCUAAAGCUAAAUAUUGGCGAGAGACCGAUAGCGAACAAGUACCGUGAGGGAAAGAUGAAAAGAACUUUGGAAAGAGAGUUAAACAGUACGUGAAAUUGCUGAAAGGGAAACGCUUGAAGUCAGUCGCGUUGGCUAGAAAUCAACCUUGCUUUUGCUUUGUGUACUUUCUGGUUGACGGGUCAGCAUCAAUUUUGACCACUGGAUAAAGUCUUUGGGAAUGUGGCAUCUUCGGAUGUGUUAUAGCCCAUUGUCGCAUACGGUGGUUGGGAUUGAGGAACUCAGCACGCCGCAAGGCCGGGUUUCGACCACGUUCGUGCUUAGGAUGCUGGCAUAAUGGCUUUAAUCGACCCGUCUUGAAACACGGACCAAGGAGUCUAACAUGCCCGCGAGUGUUUGGGUGGAAAAACCCAUGCGCGCAAUGAAAGUGAAAGUUGAGAUCCUCUUCAAAGGGGGAGCAUUGACGCCCGGACCAGACCUUUUGUGACGGAUCCGCGGUAGAGCAUGCAUGUUGGGACCCGAAAGAUGGUGAACUAUGCCUGAAUAGGGUGAAGCCAGAGGAAACUCUGGUGGAGGCUCGUAGCGAUUCUGACGUGCAAAUCGAUCGUCAAAUUUGGGUAUAGGGGCGAAAGACUAAUCGAACCAUCUAGUAGCUGGUUCCUGCC
Molecule: ribosomal RNA, 760 nt
Filed under: uncultured Inocybe
Lineage: Eukaryota; Fungi; Basidiomycota; Agaricomycetes; Agaricales; Cortinariaceae
Description: partial 28S ribosomal RNA
Rfam family: Eukaryotic large subunit ribosomal RNA
Source: RNAcentral